ACAGUUAGUAAUAGUAACAUGACAACUACAUAGUGAGCUUAUUUUCUUGCAAAGCUAGCUAAUAGACAUUGUUGGAGAAAAAAGAAAGGUGAAAAAAACUUAGGGCUUUUCAGUAAAUAAGGUAAGGAGGAUGAAGUUUCUUUUGGGAAUUCAUAUUUAUUUCAUCAUUUUAGGGCCCAAAAUUUACCUGGCCCAGACUACUAGGAGCCCAAUAAAAGCAGACCCAAACCCAAAAAAUAAAACCUUACCCAAAACCCUAAAUACCCAUUUACAAAUGGCCUAAUUGGCCCACAAACACAACAGGGAAACCCUAGCAGCCCUUUUGUGUCAUUUCAGCAAACCGACGCAGUCCCUCCUCCGCACGUCACUCACCUCCUCCGUGUUAUAUGCCACUCCAUGUCCACGUCAGAGGCGUACUCGCCUACGAACCUGCAAACAAGCAACAAACGGUUGUAAAUAUUGGCUAUAAAGCUAAAUCAAAGCAAUGUAAAAAGAGACUUUUUUUUUUGCCCAUUAUAUAAGUACAAUAGCAGAAAUUAUACAGGGAGAAAAUCAAUAGUAAAUAAAAAAUCGGGUCUAAGGUUUGAAAGGUGAUUUUUCAUUCUUCUUCCUGAAACUUUCUUUUGAUUCGUAUUUCCUUUUUUUUGUUUUUUUAUAAACUGAUUUUAAGUAAAAAGAAAGAAAGGGGGGCUUACCUAGUCUUGCUCCGUGAACCGGCGGUGGGGUGGAGGUGCGUGGCACCGAUGAUCCUCCAAGGUGGCGCAAGGCUAGGUUGAAAUUCUAGCAAAAAGGGAGAGGGAGCAGGGAAGAAGAAGCAUUCUGUUUCUUUUUGAAAAAAAAAACAAUAGAAAAA
Molecule: long non-coding RNA, 853 nt
Filed under: Gossypium barbadense (sea-island cotton)
Lineage: Eukaryota; Viridiplantae; Streptophyta; Magnoliopsida; Malvales; Malvaceae
Description: long non-coding RNA (GBAR_LNC010431)
Source: RNAcentral